Molecule: ribosomal RNA, 681 nt
Filed under: Triticum aestivum (bread wheat)
Lineage: Eukaryota; Viridiplantae; Streptophyta; Magnoliopsida; Poales; Poaceae
Description: partial small subunit ribosomal RNA
Source: RNAcentral
AUGGGGCGUGCUAAGACGAUCGACAAGGCCGAUCUACAGGAGGUCUUGUCUCUGCGUGAUGAUUUUGGUCUAUUGCAGAGAGAUAAUGUUGGGCUCCGAAUAGAUGUGUCCAGGUUGCAGGAAGAUGUGCAAUCUAUCUGCUCCAAGCAAGGAGAAAUAUCUUUGCAGGUGUGCAGUGUUGAAAAAGCAGUGUUGGAACUGGGCAAGCAACUCUCUGCUAUGAACAUGGCGUUGACAUCAAUUGUAGCCCCGUCAAGUUCUGCAAAUCAAGGAGCAAGACAGACUGAACCUGAUACAUUGUUGAAAUCUCCAACACUUCAACAAGAGGAAGUACCUAGGCAGCACAUUAGAAGAGACCAGCUUAGGCAGCAACUAGAAGCUGAAAAAGAGAAAACCAGACAGUUGGAAGAAUUACAGAUGCAGAAUUUGCCACCCAUCAGAACUAGCAGAACUGUUGUUCCUCCUGGUUUCAAUAAUCAGGUACAUCAGGAGACUACAAGUAUGUUGGGCUCUCCUGUAGCACAAGGAAGGGGAGGUGCAACACCUACAUUCCAGCAAGCAGCAAGGGACGGACAGUUAUGGCAAGGAUAUUUCAGAACUUAUAAGCAGGAUAUGCAGAUACAAUUCAUGAAAUCCAUGACCAAGGGACCUAAAAUGGAUUUCCCAAGAUUUUUUUGGUGA